Molecule: long non-coding RNA, 2521 nt
Filed under: Homo sapiens (human)
Lineage: Eukaryota; Metazoa; Chordata; Mammalia; Primates; Hominidae
Description: HSALNT0369796
Source: RNAcentral
UACACUUCUGCCUGGGCAACAGAGCAAGACUCUGUCUCAAAAAGAAAAGGCUCAGGAAGGUGACAUCACUAUGCUAAUUCAAGGAGGAAUGAAAGAGUGACCUCAUGGGACAGUAGAUCAGAGAAUGUUCUACCUGGUGGCCAGCCUAUUUGUGGGGAGGGGUCCCUAAGAAGAGGCUGUAUGCUGGCUUGGGUUAUGGAGGGCCAAAGCUCAGGGGCCUGGGGGAAGGAGAGAAGCUUAACCAAAGUUUGGCUAACAGGCAUUUUGUUCUGAUUGAUCAGUGGUGACAAGCAGUUCAGCUAGUCAUUUAGGAGGUCAAAAACAGAAGACUGGAAGAUCCCUAUCUAGUUUUGUCAUCAGUAGACAAAGGGGCACUCAUGAAACUUGUCUAAGUCAUACGGGGAAGGGUGGCCCCUUGCAGUAAGUCAUUUUCCAGAACGUAAAAGGGCAAUGGGCUUUCUUAACCUUCAGGUAAAAUUCCACUUUGUCAAAACAUAAGCAUGAUGUAGACAAAGGUUGAGAGUGAGAUCAGGCUUAUUGCCCAGUCUUAAGCCAUUUAAACCCAAGGUGGACUUUCCCCUCAGGAAAGAAGGGAAGGAAAGAAGCUAGGAAGGCCCUGGCUAGGUUCUGUGUGGGUUGGGGAAUGUGAAUCCUGAUGGAGCAGCCUAAAGAAGUCAAGCAGUCCUGUAGCAGCAGCCGUGGGGGAGGUUCCUCCUGGGAGUGGAGGAGGGCGAGUGCUGCAGGUCCAUCAGUGGAAAUGGGAAUGGACCAUUAGGCGGAGAAGACUUAUCGAAGCUGCGAAGUCCAAGAUCAAGGUGCCAGCAGAUUCUGUUCCUGGUGAAGGCUAUCUUCCUGUUUUGCAGGUGGCUACCUUCUCGCUGUGUCCUCAUAUGGUGGAGAGUGAGACUUCAUCUAAAAAGAAAAAAAAAAACCCACUCCGGACAUAGUGACUGUAGCUGGGUCUUGGACUGCAAGAAGACCAUCCUGCAGUGAGCACAGGGAGGAGGAGGUGCAUGCAAGCGAUACUGCAGGGCCAGAAUCAGAAUCAUCAGCACGUAGCAACUGAUUGGAUUUCUGGAGCAAGAAAGAAGAGUUGAAGAUAAUGUUGAACUUUCUCAUUGGGAGAUUUUACUAACAUUAUUGAGCAAUUACUGCAUGAUGGAUGUUACGCUAAGAGCAUUCUACAAUUAUUAUACCUCUUACGUCUCCCAGUAGUUCUGUUAAGCACUGAAUACUGUGGAUACAAAGAGCCCAGAGUCAUCAAGAGGAACCAGGAACUCUAACAUGAUGUGUGGAGCAGGCUAUGCAAAGAGGGGUACCUCUCCCAGUCAGAGGCAUCAGAGAAGGCUUCCUGGUGGAGAACGUGUGUGAUGGACUUAUGGACUCAUUCACUGCAUCGAUCUUGGGCACUGCCCAGCUUCAUGUUCCACUCUCCCGUUUAUCCCAAAUUGCUGAGGAUUUCCUAAGAACCAUCACUUUCCAGAGCUCAUUAUUUUCUGUUAUUUGCCUCAGCAGCACAAGCUGUUUUCACAAAGAAAUAAAGGGUCUUCUAUUCCAGAAGAGUUCUUCUAUGCAUGUAGGUGAGCAGACAGUGCAGAGCCAUGCUGAGGUGUGUGUGCCUUGCUGUCACUGUCUCUCCUCCGGGAGGAACACUAGGCUCCUGUACACCAGGCUUCCCACAGCCCAGGAGGAACACAUCCACGCCUUGCCAGUCAUUUGCAUCUUAGUAAGACUAAAACUAAUAAAACUAACAAUAAAACUUAAAAUAGAUUGAAGGAUUACAGUAUGCCAAGCAUAUAUGUAUUGUGUUAUUUGGCCCUCACAGUCACCUUUUGAGCUAGGCACCAGUACCAGCUUUAAGAGCUCAGGAAGCUGAGGUGUCAAGAUUUUAAGUCAUUUGCUCAAGGUCACACAGCUAGGAAGUGUAGUGGGAGAGUCAGUCCCCCAUUUGUCCAAUGCAGUGCUGUCGCCCAAGUGUGAAGAGGGAUGUGCGGGUCUGAGAACAAAGUUAGCCUGCUUAGUACUUUGUCCAAGGUCAGCCCUGGCUCCAAGCCCAAGAAACAAGGCAGGAUCAGCAGCCACAAAGUCCAACAGUCAGCCAGGCUCCCAUACUGCAGGGGUCUCUAUCACAGCCCAGCUCUGGAUAUGGGCAAAUGAAAGCUAGCAGCAGAGUACCCAGGCUACCUCUGCACAGGGAGUGACUGCGGAACUUCAAGAACAAAAGAGAGGCAAAAGAUGUGGGGUGGCCUGUCUGGGAGGGACUAGGGAACAGGGACACCUUGCAGAUAACUCUCAGGACUGAGGAGUAAAUAUCUUUUAUUAAACAAAGCUUAUAAUUCUGACUCUAAGCCUGGCGUUCCUAACAAUGGCAGGGACUGAUGGCUGUGAAAGGCACUAAUCAGACACAGUAGAUUCGUGUUUACACUGGGAAGGGCCGCUGAUCCCGCAUAGGCCUUUGAAGCCACCCGUGCUCACACAGAUUGUAAUGCACUAUGAAGUCAUGUCUUCAAAUAAAAGGGAG